AACCCAUGCUGAGGACAUUUCCGUAGGAGAUCCUUGAACCUAUCCCAUAUCUCAGAAAGAGACUCCAAUUCUACUUGCACAAAAGAGGAUAUUUCAAUCUUGAGCUU
Molecule: small nucleolar RNA, 107 nt
Organism: Dioscorea cayenensis subsp. rotundata (Guinea yam)
Lineage: Eukaryota; Viridiplantae; Streptophyta; Magnoliopsida; Dioscoreales; Dioscoreaceae
Source: RefSeq, a predicted model, not a curated record